Molecule: ribosomal RNA, 301 nt
Filed under: uncultured bacterium
Lineage: Bacteria
Description: partial 16S ribosomal RNA
Rfam family: Bacterial small subunit ribosomal RNA
Source: RNAcentral
CAGUAGCCGCGGUAAUACAGAGGAUGCAAGCGUUAUCCGGAAUGAUUGGGCGUAAAGCGUCUGUAGGUGGUUUUUCAAGUCCGCCGUCAAAUCCCCGGGCUCAACCCUGGACAGGCAGUGGAAACUACCAAGCUGGAGUACGGCAGGAGCAGAGGGAAUUUCCGGUGGAGCGGUGAAAUGCGUUGAGAUGUGGAGGAACACCAGUGGCGAAGGCGACUCUCUGGUCUGUAACUGACGCUGAGGAGCGAAAGCGUGGGGAGCGAACAGGAUUAGAUACCCGGGUAGUCCCUGUCUCUUAUAC